RNAcentral lists this non-coding RNA (262 nucleotides) under Clostridium collagenovorans. RNAcentral's name for it is "T-box sequence". It matches the Rfam family "T-box leader". Rfam says of the family: Uncharged tRNA acts as the effector for transcription antitermination of genes in the T-box leader family. T-boxes are found upstream of many aminoacyl-tRNA synthetase genes and some amino acid biosynthetic genes usually in Gram-positive bacteria. The anticodon of a specific tRNA base pairs to a specifier sequence within the T-box motif, and the NCCA acceptor tail of the tRNA base pairs to a conserved bulge in the T-box antiterminator hairpin. The record is from RNAcentral. Lineage: Bacteria; Bacillati; Bacillota; Clostridia; Eubacteriales; Clostridiaceae.
AAAAACACUGUGAUAAGAAAUAGUAGAAAUGAAGAGUCUUUUACAGAGAGUUUCCGGUUGGUGAGAGGAGCAUAAGAAGUCAUUUUGAACACAUCUUUGAGUUGAACACCGAAACCUAAAUAGGAAGUAGACUGUUUCCGGGUGCGCCCGUUAUAGUGCCGGAGUAUAAGCUAUUAUAAAUAGCCGUACUUUUAGAGGUUAAGUAGGCGACUAUUUAACAAAUAGAGGUGGGACCGUGGAAGUGAAUACUUUCGCCCUCUAA